Molecule: long non-coding RNA, 782 nt
Organism: Girardinichthys multiradiatus
Lineage: Eukaryota; Metazoa; Chordata; Actinopteri; Cyprinodontiformes; Goodeidae
Exons: 3
Source: RefSeq, a predicted model, not a curated record
CACGACACAGCAAGAUGUUCUCCUCAAUUAGUUGAUCACACGGAUGGAACAAACCGGGGGAAACGGAAGAGGAUUGUGGGGCGGGGCUGACCUCAAUAAACGAGCGAACAAACCCUAAAGGGCAAAAGACAACAGGCCCGUCUCACUAGAAGGAGGCCCAGGGACAAGCUGGAGAGGCUAUGUCUCUAGACUGGCCUUGGAACACUUCAGACUUCCCCCAGAGGAGCUGGAGGAGGUGUCUGGGGAGAGGGAAGUCUGGGCAUCUCUGCUGAGACUGGUGAAAUAGAGAGACUGACAGCAUUAACAUCAGCUGGUUUGGUAAACGACUCUUCCAGAGCUACCAGUGGAGUGAUCUUCUGGCUCUGUUAACUUCCUGCUUACAUCUGCCACUCCAAUCCUACCUGGAAUGUUUACUGUCAUCCACAGGAGCUCACCACUGGUCUUCUGUCUACAACCACCUGCACUGACCUGACACUCUGCCAAUGCCUACAACCAGCAUUGGGGGCAAAUACAACCUGCUUGUAAAAAACAGGGACAUAUUAUUCACCUCCUCCACCACUUCAGGAUCCUCAGUCAAACCCUCUGACCCGAUAUCUUAUCUGAAUAUAAGUAACCACAAUCCAUUAAAAGCAUAUCACCAGAUAUUGAAUCGUGCCCUCUUGUUCUCUCUUGUCUUUUAAGGUAAGGUAAGGUAAGUUUAUUUAUAUAGCGCUUUUCAGCAACGAGAUACUCAAAGCGCUGUAGAUACAAUUACAAUACAAUCACAAAGCAAAUAAACACAG